Molecule: ribosomal RNA, 855 nt
Filed under: Rathayibacter tritici
Lineage: Bacteria; Bacillati; Actinomycetota; Actinomycetes; Micrococcales; Microbacteriaceae
Description: bacterial SSU rRNA
Rfam family: Bacterial small subunit ribosomal RNA
Source: RNAcentral
CCAUGCAAGUCGAACGAUGAAGCCCAGCUUGCUGGGUGGAUUAGUGGCGAACGGGUGAGUAACACGUGAGUAACCUGCCCUUGACUCUGGGAUAAGCGCUGGAAACGGCGUCUAAUACCGGAUACGACCUGCCCCGGCAUCGGGUGCGGGUGGAAAGUUUUUCGGUCAAGGAUGGACUCGCGGCCUAUCAGCUAGUUGGUGAGGUAAUGGCUCACCAAGGCGACGACGGGUAGCCGGCCUGAGAGGGUGACCGGCCACACUGGGACUGAGACACGGCCCAGACUCCUACGGGAGGCAGCAGUGGGGAAUAUUGCACAAUGGGCGAAAGCCUGAUGCAGCAACGCCGCGUGGGGGAUGACGGCCUUCGGGUUGUAAACCUCUUUUAGUAGGGAAGAAGGGCUUCGGCUUGACGGUACCUGCAGAAAAAGCACCGGCUAACUACGUGCCAGCAGCCGCGGUAAUACGUAGGGUGCAAGCGUUGUCCGGAAUUAUUGGGCGUAAAGAGCUCGUAGGCGGUUUGUCGCGUCUGCUGUGAAAACCCGAGGCUCAACCUCGGGCCUGCAGUGGGUACGGGCAGACUAGAGUGCGGUAGGGGAGAAUGGAAUUCCUGGUGUAGCGGUGGAAUGCGCAGAUAUCAGGAGGAACACCGAUGGCGAAGGCAGUUCUCUGGGCCGUUACUGACGCUGAGGAGCGAAAGCGUGGGGAGCGAACAGGAUUAGAUACCCUGGUAGUCCACGCCGUAAACGUUGGGAACUAGAUGUGGGGACCUUUCCACGGUCUCCGUGUCGCAGCUAACGCAUUAAGUUCCCCGCCUGGGGAGUACGGCCGCAAGGCUAAAACUCAAAGGAAUUGACG